Molecule: ribosomal RNA, 295 nt
Filed under: uncultured bacterium
Lineage: Bacteria
Description: partial 16S ribosomal RNA
Rfam family: Bacterial small subunit ribosomal RNA
Source: RNAcentral
UUUUACCUACGGGAGGCAGCAGUGGGGAAUAUUGCACAAUGGGGGAAACCCUGAUGCAGCAACGCCGCGUGAAGGAAGACGGUUUUCGGAUUGUAAACUUCUGUUCUUAGUGAGGAAAAAUGACGGUAGCUAAGGAGCAAGCCACGGCUAACUACGUGCCAGCAGCCGCGGUAAUACGUAGGUGGCAAGCGUUGUCCGGAAUUACUGGGUGUAAAGGGAGCGCAGGCGGGAAGCCAAGUCAACUGUGAAAACUACGGGCUUAAAUUGUAGACUGCAGUUGAAACUGGGUUUCUUG